CAACUCGGAGGAAGAGAAUUGUUGAUUUCACCUUCUUUUUUCUUACGUGGACCUAAAAGGUCAACAGCUUUGAAAGUAAGGGGAAUGUAUCAGAAUCAAGCUCUUUUUGUCUGUAAUCCUUUCUUAAGGAAAAGAUUUAUCACACACCUUCCACAGAUGUAUGGUAGUAGAGAAUAAUUUUGAACUAAUCUAAUUAAGGUCAAUUUGGGGAUAGUGGUACUUCUCUAAUUGUUUCUGAGACGUACGCAUUAGCAACAGAGAGUGUUUGGUUGUCACUGCAAGGGGCCUACGGCAACGACUUCCCAAACAGAACUGAAUUAUGUCACAAUGGCACUUUGGAACAGCUGCCUCUGCGCAGGUUUAGCUAGGAGGGAUAGAGAAGUGUGCUGGAUGUGUUGAAACCAUGUGAGGUUCUGUGGAUCCCACCUUGAGGUGCAUAGAGAGGGCCCAUGCCCUUCUGUAAGUGUUUUGACGCUUGGCGAGGAAAAAAAUGUGUUUUUAUUGUGAAUGCUUCAUUUUAGUAUUCUGUAGGUUGUGUAAAGUCCUUUCACAAGCGUUAACCGUGGUACUUUUGCUCAGUGAUGUAGCUGCACAGAGCGACAGAUGGUUAUUGACUUCGAAGGCAAAUAUCUGGCCAGACUGCAACACUUAUGCUCACAGCGCGGGACAGCUCUCGUAAAGUAAAUUGCUGAUGUUGCUGAGGAGGCAGCAGUAUCAAAGCCCUUGCUGAUGAAGGUACAGCAAGUUUGGGGAGGCUUUGGCAUUUCUCUACAGUGCUGCUCCUUGACGGUGACCCAAGACUCAGAUUCUGAACGGAGCAAAGCAAGCUAGAGGAAAACUGUAUGUCCCGUCUCCAAAACUCCAUAUUAUAGCUGAUCUUCAUCUCUGAUCUUCAAAGCUUCACAGGCCAAAAGAGAAUAGAGAUGAGGAAGGAAACAGAGAGUGCUGAUGAAUAUUUCCAAUUACCACAUAAACCACUUGGCUAGCCAAACUAAAUCACUGAAAAUGGAAGUAGUGGCACUACUUCAAAACCGUGCUUCUGCCUCUAAGCAGAACUGUAAUGUAGGUGGGGGCAUAGCAAGAGGACGUGUCCAAGCCAGGGUGGAACUGAAAGUCACCUGUCCGAGCCACAGAAAAAAGUCAGCGAUUCCCAGUUUGAGACUGUUGCUUGACCAGGACCACAGCAGCUGGAACGCUUAUGAUUACUGCUGAUGGACUCCCUAUGAAUCAGCCAGUGAUACAAGUUACGAGAACGACUGAAGCGAUUUGAAGUUAAGCUUCUCCCUGUACUGCAUUCAAAUUUGUGAAAGAAAGGAGAAGGGAGAAGAAGACAGGAGAGGAGGAGAAGAGAGGAGGAGAGAAGAGGAGAAGAUGGGAGGGAAGGGGAGGGGAAGAGAGGGAAGGGAAGGGGAGGGUACUGAAGGGACGUGUAGGGUAGCGUAGGGCAGUGUAGGGGAGGGGAGUGGAGGGGGAGAGGAGUGUAGGGGAGGGAAGGGAAGAGGAGUGUAGUGGAGGGGAGGGCUACCAUAAAUAAAAUGGUCAAAUAAAUGACA
Long non-coding RNA from Anser cygnoides (Swan goose), 1553 nucleotides. Lineage: Eukaryota; Metazoa; Chordata; Aves; Anseriformes; Anatidae. The record is from Ensembl.